GACGAACGCUGGCGGCGCGCCUAACACAUGCAAGUCGAACGAGCGAGAGAGAGCUUGCUUUCUCGAGCGAGUGGCGAACGGGUGAGUAACGCGUGAGGAACCUGCCUCAAAGAGGGGGACAACAGUUGGAAACGACUGCUAAUACCGCAUAAGCCCACGGCUCGGCAUCGAGCAGGGGGAAAAGGAGCAAUCCGCUUUGAGAUGGCCUCGCGUCCGAUUAGCUAGUUGGUGGGGUAACGGCCCACCAAGGCGACGAUCGGUAGCCGGACUGAGAGGUUGAACGGCCACAUUGGGACUGAGACACGGCCCAGACUCCUACGGGAGGCAGCAGUGGGGAAUAUUGCACAAUGGGGGAAACCCUGAUGCAGCGACGCCGCGUGGAGGAAGAAGGUCUUCGGAUUGUAAACUCCUGUUGAUGGGGAAGAUAAUGACGGUACCCAACAAGGAAGUGACGGCUAACUACGUG
This 466-nucleotide ribosomal RNA is filed under the name uncultured bacterium. RNAcentral's name for it is "partial 16S ribosomal RNA". It matches the Rfam family "Bacterial small subunit ribosomal RNA", at positions 28 to 507 of the family's 1533-position model. The record is from RNAcentral.